GACGAACGCUGGCGGCGUGCUUAACACAUGCAAGUCGAACGGAAAGGCCCUGCUUUUGUGGGGUGCUCGAGUGGCGAACGGGUGAGUAACACGUGAGUAACCUGCCCUUGACUUUGGGAUAACUUCAGGAAACUGGGCUAAUACCGGAUAGGAGCUCCUGCUGCAUGGUGGGGGUUGGAAAGUUUCGGCGGUUGGGGAUGGACUCGCGGCUUAUCAGCUUGUUGGUGGGGUAGUGGCUUUCCAAGGCUUUGACGGGUAGCCGGCCUGAGAGGGUGACCGGCCACAUUGGGACUGAGAUACGGCCCAGACUCCUACGGGAGGCAGCAGUGGGGAAUAUUGCACAAUGGGCGGAAGCCUGAUGCAGCAACGCCGCGUGCGGGAUGACGGCCUUCGGGUUGUAAACCGCUUUCGCCUGUGACGAAGCGUGAGUGACGGUAAUGGGUAAAGAAGCACCGGCUAACUACGUG
Molecule: ribosomal RNA, 467 nt
Filed under: uncultured bacterium
Lineage: Bacteria
Description: partial 16S ribosomal RNA
Rfam family: Bacterial small subunit ribosomal RNA
Source: RNAcentral